GAAGGAGGAGCUUGCUUCUCUGGAUGAGUUGCGAACGGGUGAGUAACGCGUAGGUAACCUGCCUGGUAGCGGGGGAUAACUAUUGGAAACGAUAGCUAAUACCGCAUAACAGUAGAUGUUGCAUGACAUUUGCUUAAAAGGUGCAAUUGCAUCACUACCAGAUGGACCUGCGUUGUAUUAGCUAGUUGGUGGGGUAACGGCUCACCAAGGCGACGAUACAUAGCCGACCUGAGAGGGUGAUCGGCCACACUGGGACUGAGACACGGCCCAGACUCCUACGGGAGGCAGCAGUAGGGAAUCUUCGGCAAUGGACGGAAGUCUGACCGAGCAACGCCGCGUGAGUGAAGAAGGUUUUCGGAUCGUAAAGCUCUGUUGUAAGAGAAGAACGAGUGUGAGAGUGGAAAGUUCACACUGUGACGGUAUCUUACCAGAAAGGGACGGCUAACUACGUGCCAGCAGCCGCGGUAAUACGUAGGUCCCGAGCGUUGUCCGGAUUUAUUGGGCGUAAAGCGAGCGCAGGCGGUUAGAUAAGUCUGAAGUUAAAGGCUGUGGCUUAACCAUAGUACGCUUUGGAAACUGUUUAACUUGAGUGCAAGAGGGGAGAGUGGAAUUCCAUGUGUAGCGGUGAAAUGCGUACAUAUAUGGAGGAACACCGGUGGCGAAAGCGGCUCUCUGGCUUGUAACUGACGCUGAGGCUCGAAAGCGUGGGGAGCAAACAGGAUUAGAUANCCUGGUAGUCCACGCCGUAAACGAUGAGUGCUAGGUGUUAGACCCUCUCCGGGGCUUAGUGCC
Molecule: ribosomal RNA, 792 nt
Filed under: uncultured Streptococcus sp.
Lineage: Bacteria; Bacillati; Bacillota; Bacilli; Lactobacillales; Streptococcaceae
Description: bacterial SSU rRNA
Rfam family: Bacterial small subunit ribosomal RNA
Source: RNAcentral